RNAcentral lists this ribosomal RNA (378 nucleotides) under Triticum aestivum (bread wheat). RNAcentral's name for it is "partial small subunit ribosomal RNA". The record is from RNAcentral. Lineage: Eukaryota; Viridiplantae; Streptophyta; Magnoliopsida; Poales; Poaceae.
AUGGAGCGUAUGACAGCCUCAUAUUACAAGGAGGUCUUCAUUAAAGACCCUACCUUGUCGCCGGACAUGGUGUUAGAUUGCAUCGAGCCUAGAGUGAGAGACGCGAUGAAUAAUAUUUUAUGUGCUAAAUUUUCUGAACAGAAAGUGUCUGAUGCAUUGUUCCAGAUUGGGACUCUUAAGGCUCCCGGUCCAGAUAGUUUUCUUGGAAGAUUCUACCAGAGGAACUGGACUUGCCUCAAGUCAGAGAUUAUUGCGGCGGUUUUAUCUUUCUUUGAUUCAGGUGUUUUGCCUGCUGGGGUUAAUGACACCUCCAUUGUGUUGAUUCCUAAGGUAGACCGUCCUUCUGAUCUCAAGGAUUUUCGCCCUAUCAGCUUGUGA